RNAcentral lists this non-coding RNA (28 nucleotides) under Mus musculus (house mouse). The record is from RNAcentral. Lineage: Eukaryota; Metazoa; Chordata; Mammalia; Rodentia; Muridae.
UAUGCUCGAAAACGAUUGGUGAUCCAGG